GCAAGUCGAACGCAGUAGCAAUACUGAGUGGCAAACGGGUGAGUAUAAUGUGGGAAUCUGCCUUUUGGUUCGGAAUAACACGAGGAAACUUGUGCUAAUACCGGAUAAGCCCUUACGGGGAAAGUUUUAAUGCCAAAAGAUGAGCCCGCACUUGAUUAGCUAGUUGGUAAGGUAAUGGCUUACCAAGGCAACGAUCAAUAGCUGUUCUUAGAGGAAGACCAGCCACAUUGGGACUGAGACACGGCCCAAACUCCUACGGGAGGCAGCAGUGGGGAAUCUUGUGCAAUGGGGGAAACCCUGAUGCAGCGAUGCCGCGUGAGUGAAGAAGGCCCUUGGGUUGUAAAACUCUUUCGUCGGGGAAGAAAAUGACGGUACCCGAAUAAGAAGGUCCGGCUAACUUCGUGCCAGCAGCCGCGGUAAUACGAAGGGACCUAGCGUAGUUCGGAAUUACUGGGCUUAAAGAGUUCGUAGGUGGUUAAAAAAGUUGAUGGUGAAAUCCCAAGGCUCAACCUUGGAACUGCCAUCAAAACUUUUUAGCUAGAGUGUGAUAGAGGAAAGUGGAAUUUCUAGUGUAGAGGUGAAAUUCGUAGAUAUUAGAAAGAACAUCAAAAGCGAAGGCAACUUUCUGGAUCAUUACUGACACUGAGGAACGAAAGCAUGGGUAGCGAAGAGGAUUAGAUACCCUCGUAGUCCAUGCCGUAAACGAUGUGUGCUAGACGUUGGAAACUUAGUUUUCAGUGUCGCAGCGAAAGCAUUAAGCACACCGCCUGGGGAGUACGACCGCAAGGUUA
RNAcentral lists this ribosomal RNA (791 nucleotides) under uncultured bacterium. Its description in RNAcentral is "bacterial SSU rRNA". It matches the Rfam family "Bacterial small subunit ribosomal RNA", at positions 57 to 896 of the family's 1533-position model. The record is from RNAcentral.